Molecule: ribosomal RNA, 1408 nt
Filed under: uncultured bacterium
Lineage: Bacteria
Description: bacterial SSU rRNA
Rfam family: Bacterial small subunit ribosomal RNA
Source: RNAcentral
GAGUUUGAUCAUGGCUCAGGACGAACGCUCGGCGGCGUGCCUAAUACAUGCAAGUAGAACGCUGAAGAGAGGAGCUUGCUCUUCUUGGAUGAGUUGCGAACGGGUGAGUAACGCGUAGGUAACCUGCCUUGUAGCGGGGGAUAACUAUUGGAAACGAUAGCUAAUACCGCAUAACAAUGGAUGACACAUGUCAUUUAUUUGAAAGGGGCAAUUGCUCCACUACAAGAUGGACCUGCGUUGUAUUAGCUAGUAGGUGAGGUAACGGCUCACCUAGGCGACGAUACAUAGCCGACCUGAGAGGGUGAUCGGCCACACUGGGACUGAGACACGGCCCAGACUCCUACGGGAGGCAGCAGUAGGGAAUCUUCGGCAAUGGGGGCAACCCUGACCGAGCAACGCCGCGUGAGUGAAGAAGGUUUUCGGAUCGUAAAGCUCUGUUGUAAGUCAAGAACGAGUGUGAGAGUGGAAAGUUCACACUGUGACGGUAGCUUACCAGAAAGGGACGGCUAACUACGUGCCAGCAGCCGCGGUAAUACGUAGGUCCCGAGCGUUGUCCGGAUUUAUUGGGCGUAAAGCGAGCGCAGGCGGUUUGAUAAGUCUGAAGUUAAAGGCUGUGGCUCAACCAUAGUUCGCUUUGGAAACUGUCAAACUUGAGUGCAGAAGGGGAGAGUGGAAUUCCAUGUGUAGCGGUGAAAUGCGUAGAUAUAUGGAGGAACACCGGUGGCGAAAGCGGCUCUCUGGUCUGUAACUGACGCUGAGGCUCGAAAGCGUGGGGAGCGAACAGGAUUAGAUACCCUGGUAGUCCACGCCGUAAACGAUGAGUGCUAGGUGUUGGAUCCUUUCCGGGAUUCAGUGCCGCAGCUAACGCAUUAAGCACUCCGCCUGGGGAGUACGACCGCAAGGUUGAAACUCAAAGGAAUUGACGGGGGCCCGCACAAGCGGUGGAGCAUGUGGUUUAAUUCGAAGCAACGCGAAGAACCUUACCAGGUCUUGACAUCCCGAUGCUAUUUCUAGAGAUAGAAAGUUACUUCGGUACAUCGGUGACAGGUGGUGCAUGGUUGUCGUCAGCUCGUGUCGUGAGAUGUUGGGUUAAGUCCCGCAACGAGCGCAACCCCUAUUGUUAGUUGCCAUCAUUCAGUUGGGCACUCUAGCGAGACUGCCGGUAAUAAACCGGAGGAAGGUGGGGAUGACGUCAAAUCAUCAUGCCCCUUAUGACCUGGGCUACACACGUGCUACAAUGGUUGGUACAACGAGUUGCGAGUCGGUGACGGCAAGCUAAUCUCUUAAAGCCAAUCUCAGUUCGGAUUGUAGGCUGCAACUCGCCUACAUGAAGUCGGAAUCGCUAGUAAUCGCGGAUCAGCACGCCGCGGUGAAUACGUUCCCGGGCCUUGUACACACCGCCCGUCAA